RNAcentral lists this ribosomal RNA (465 nucleotides) under Vreelandella stevensii. Its description in RNAcentral is "partial 16S ribosomal RNA". It matches the Rfam family "Bacterial small subunit ribosomal RNA", at positions 338 to 795 of the family's 1533-position model. Lineage: Bacteria; Pseudomonadati; Pseudomonadota; Gammaproteobacteria; Oceanospirillales; Halomonadaceae. The record is from RNAcentral.
CCUACGGGUGGCUGCAGUGGGGAAUAUUGGACAAUGGGGGGAACCCUGAUCCAGCCAUGCCGCGUGUGUGAAGAAGGCCCUCGGGUUGUAAAGCACUUUCAGUGAGGAAGAACGCCUGGUGGUUAAUACCCAUCAGGAAAGACAUCACUCACAGAAGAAGCACCGGCUAACUCCGUGCCAGCAGCCGCGGUAAUACGGAGGGUGCGAGCGUUAAUCGGAACUACUGGGCGUAAAGCGCGCGUAGGUGGCUUGAUAAGCCGGUUGUGAAAGCCCCGGGCUCAACCUGGGAACGGCAUCCGGAACUGUCAAGCUAGAGUGCAGGAGAGGAAGGUAGAAUUCCCGGUGUAGCGGUGAAAUGCGUAGAGAUCGGGAGGAAUACCAGUGGCGAAGGCGGCCUUCUGGACUGACACUGACACUGAGGUGCGAAAGCGUGGGUAGCAAACAGGAUUAGAUACCCCAGUAGUC